This 307-nucleotide long non-coding RNA is filed under the name Sorghum bicolor (sorghum). RNAcentral's name for it is "long non-coding RNA (SBIC_LNC008168)". Lineage: Eukaryota; Viridiplantae; Streptophyta; Magnoliopsida; Poales; Poaceae. The record is from RNAcentral.
GCACGGUGCCACGGGGUGGCACGCGAGGUUCCCGCGGGUAAAGGCUCCUUCGGCAGGCGGGAGUUGACCGGAAACUGGGAAACAUGAAGGUUAGCCAUGGUAGUUUGCCGGAAAAGAGAGAUAGGAAGGGGACUCGGCCAUACGGACAUGGAUUUGCGAAACAAAUAACGUGCCGGUGUAGAGGACGAUGAGAUGAACCUCGAGAUGGUGACGGUUUCUGCUGGAGAUGCAGGAGAUGGCCGGAAACGCUCGCCGAACGUUCGCCGGAAAAGUUCGCCGGAAACGAGAUCCGAAACUUCGGCGAUGG